GCCUAAAUAAGGUGAAACCGCGAAAGGCUCAUUAAAUCAGUUAUGGUUCCUUAGAUUGUACCCACACUUACUUGGAUAACUGUGGUAAUUCUAGAGCUAAUACAUGCAAAUAGAACUCCGACCGGAGACGGAAGGAGUGCUUUUAUUAGAUCAAAACCAAUCGGCAAUGGUUCACGCCAUUGUCGUAUUAUUUGGUGACUCUGAAUAACUUAUUGCUGAUCGCACGGUCUAGAACCGGCGACGCAUCUUUCAAAUGUCUGCCUUAUCAACUGUCGAUGGUAGGUUCUGCGCCUACCAUGGUUGUAACGGGUAACGGGGAAUCAGGGUUCGAUUCCGGAGAGGGAGCCUGAGAAACGGCUACCACAUCCAAGGAAGGCAGCAGGCGCGCAAAUUACCCACUCCCGGCACGGGGAGGUAGUGACGAAAAAUAACGAUACGGGACUCAUCCGAGGCCCCGUAAUCGGAAUGAGUACACUCUAAAUCCUUUAACGAGGACCAAUUGGAGGGCCAGUCUGGUGCCAGCAGCCGCGGUAAUACCAGCUCCAAUAGCGUAUAUUAAAGUUGUUGCGGUUAAAAAGCUCGUAGUCGAAUCUGUGUCCCACGCCGUCGGUUCACCGCUCGCGGUGUUUAACUGGCGUGUCCGUGGGACGUCCUGCCGGUGGGCUUAGCCUUAAGGGGCGGUCCAACUUGAAAUCCUACCGCGGUGCUCUUGAUUGAGUGUCGAGGUGGGCCGGCACGUUUACUUUGAACAAAUUAGAGUGCUUAAAGCAGGCUAAAAUUUCGCCUGAAUACUGUGUGCAUGGAAUAAUGGAAUAGGACCUCGGUUCUAUUUUGUUGGUUUUCGGAACCCCGAGGUAAUGAUUAAUAGGAACGGAUGGGGGCAUUCGUAUUGCGACGUUAGAGGUGAAAUUCUUGGAUCGUCGCAAGACGGACAUAAGCGAAAGCAUUUGCCAAAAACGUUUUCAUUGAUCAAGAACGAAAGUUAGAGGUUCGAAGGCGAUCAGAUACCGCCCUAGUUCUAACCAUAAACGAUGCCAGCUAGCGAUCCGCCGACGUUCCUCCGAUGACUCGGCGGGCAGCUUCCGGGAAACCAAAGCUUUUGGGUUCCGGGGGAAGUAUGGUUGCAAAGCUGAAACUUAAAGGAAUUGACGGAAGGGCACCMCCAGGAGUGGAGCCUGCGGCUUAAUUUGACUCAACACGGGAAACCUCACCAGGCCCGGACACCGGAAGGAUUGACAGAUUGAGAGCUCUUUCUUGAUUCGGUGGGUGGUGGUGCAUGGCCGUUYUUAGUUGGUGGAGCGAUUUGUYUGGUUAAUUCCGAUAACGAACGAGACUCUAGCCUAUUAACUAUACAAUUAA
This 1359-nucleotide ribosomal RNA is filed under the name Ochthebius exsculptus. Its description in RNAcentral is "SSU rRNA". It matches the Rfam family "Eukaryotic small subunit ribosomal RNA", at positions 69 to 1377 of the family's 1831-position model. Lineage: Eukaryota; Metazoa; Arthropoda; Insecta; Coleoptera; Hydraenidae. The record is from RNAcentral.